GUAGGUGGCAAGCGUUGUCCGGAAUUAUUGGGCGUAAAGCGCGCGCAGGCGGUUCUUUAAGUCUGAUGUGAAAGCCCACGGCUCAACCGUGGAGGGUCAUUGGAAACUGGAGAACUUGAGUACAGAGAGGAAAGCGGAAUUCCACGUGUAGCGGUGAAAUGCGUAGAGAUGUGGAGGAACACCAGUGGCGAAGGCGGCUUUCUGGUCUGUAACUGACGCUGAGGCGCGAAAGCGUGGGGAGCAAACAGGGAUUAGAUACCCUGGUAGUCCACGCCGUAAACGAUGAGUGCUAAUGUUAGGGGGUUUCCGCCCCCCUUAGUGCUGCAGCUAACGCAUUAAGCACUCCGCCUGGGAGUACGGCCGCAAGGCUG
RNAcentral lists this ribosomal RNA (371 nucleotides) under uncultured organism. RNAcentral's name for it is "partial 16S ribosomal RNA". It matches the Rfam family "Bacterial small subunit ribosomal RNA", at positions 527 to 896 of the family's 1533-position model. The record is from RNAcentral.